Molecule: long non-coding RNA, 2238 nt
Organism: Pygocentrus nattereri (red-bellied piranha)
Lineage: Eukaryota; Metazoa; Chordata; Actinopteri; Characiformes; Serrasalmidae
Source: Ensembl
CUCAGACAAACAACAGCAACUUGAACUGCACCAGUUAAGCUGAAGCUCAGUUCAGAAUGAAGAUCAUCAUCACCUUCUGCCUGAUCACAGGUCUAGUGAGCAGCACUAAUGUGAUAAGCUACUCUGGGGGCAGUGUAAUAAUGACCAUGGGUGAUCGUCAUCGGUGGAGCUCACACACUCCAAAGUAUAUCUGCAAGUUUGCAGGAGGUGCCUGCAAAACUGUAAUACAGUCUACUGCUCAAAAUGAUACUGUUUUUGAAGGAAGGUUCUCGCUGUAUGAAAGUAAACAAGGACAUUUCGGAGUGUUAAUCAGAGAGCUGAACCCACAGGAUGCUGGAAAAUACCGAUUUGGAUUGGCUAAUAAUUGGAAUCGGGAAAUAAAUCUGAAAGUUCACCAUGGUGAGGGAUUCGCAAUAAAGAACACAGUAAGCGUAGCAUUCUUUUCCAUAAAUGUACAUAAUGACCUGUUUUUAUGAUUGACAGAUGCUUGUUGUGGGAUGUCAAUGACAGUGGUUGGACAUCUGAACAAGGAUGUCAGCAUCAGUUGUGACUAUACAGUGGAACAUAAGAGAACAUGGAAGUACUUCUACAAACUGAAAGGUCACUCAGCUGAUUAGGUCAUUUUUACGAUGCCUGACAAAAACCACAAAGAAAAUCAGUUUUACAUCACUGAUGAUAAUCGUUUAAACCUUUUCACCAUGACCAUCCGUGAGUUGAAAGAAGAGGAUGGUGGGGUUUAUUUCUGUGGCACACAGACCUGGGAAUAUCCAAUCAAAGUGUUCUCUACAAUCAAAACUGUACAUCUCCAUGUUACUGGUGAGAUAAACAUGAAGUCAUCUAUUAGCAGUGGUGAACUGUGAUUAUUAGAGCUGGGCUUUCAGUUUAGGACUUUACAAAAGUCAAAACUUGUAGUAAUAGCCUGUAACAGACCUGAUUAGAAGACUUUUAAAGCUUGAAAAACAAUUUGCACAUUUUUUAUUUGAGGCUUGUAAAAGACAUUAACAUAUAGACAAAAAAUGAGCCACCUUGCAUGUUUAAGGUGGUAGUAGUAGAAGGAAAGGUCACCAGUUUUAUUCUGUGAAGGAUCUAGAACUUCUGGAAGUUUUUUUUUCCAUCCAUCCAUUUUCUAAGCCGCUUCUCCCUCAGAGUCGCGGGGGGGGGGUGCUGGAGGCUAUCCCAGUGGUCAUUGGGAGGAAGGCAGGAUACACCCUGGACAGGUCGUCAGCCCAUCGCGGGGCAGACAGACAGACAGACACAGACAGUCACUCACACCUAGGGGCAAUUUAGCACGUCCAAUUGGCCUGUUUUUUUUUAAUCCAAUUGCAAAUUGAAAUACCAUUGGUCGAUUCAUUCCUGUGUCUUUCUAAUUAUGUUAGUAGUUUAUUUAAAUUUUAAGGCCUUUAUUCCAGCUCCUGAAGUCCAAACCAGGGUAAAAUCUAGCUUAGCUGUAUUUAACUAGAUACCAAAAAUGUAUCGUAAAAUAAUAGUUUUACUAUAAUGCAAGUAGUCUUUAAAUACAUCAAAUAUGAUGAUUCUAUUAAAUAAAAAGACCUUAAAAUUACAGACUUGAAAUCACCUGACUUUCUCUGAAGGUCUAGAAAGUUCCACUGUUAUUUACUUUAUGGACUUGCUGAUGAGAUUCUAAUUGGUGUUUAACUUGACAGAUAAAGUUCAGAGUUCAGUCAGAGUGACUGGCUUCUUACGAGGACGCAUCAUGUUGAAAUGGGAAAUUUUUGUUAAGAAUUGCUUUUAUAGGUGUUUUUUUUUUCAAGUAAGAAGCGAUAACUAUAGCAAACGUACAGACACCAAUUCAUCCACACCAGUCAUAUUGGUAUCAGCACAGAUAUCGGCACUUAAACACAGUAUCGGUAUUGCUAAUAGGGAUACCGAUACCAUGCAGCAAUUUCCUCUCUCUCUCUCUCUCUCUCUCUCUCUCUCUCUCUCUCUCUCUCUCUCACUCUCUUUCUCGCUCUCUCUCUCUCUCUCGCUCUUUCUCUCUCUCUCUCGCUCUUUCUCUCUCUCUCUGUGGUUUACUCCUCUUCCUUUCACAGAUGUUCAUCCUUAAAUGACAUGCCGGCAGUCAGUCCAGAGGUGCACUCUCAGAAAAAACUGUCACUGGUGUGGUUCCCUCAAGGGUACGUCUCCAGUUCCUUUAUUUAGGAACCAUAUUUGUACUGAAUUACAUUGCAGUUAUAUUUUUUAAGUUGCUUUGACUCUAUACACCAUGUAUCGUCUCCA